RNAcentral lists this ribosomal RNA (495 nucleotides) under uncultured bacterium. RNAcentral's name for it is "partial 16S ribosomal RNA". It matches the Rfam family "Bacterial small subunit ribosomal RNA", at positions 28 to 507 of the family's 1533-position model. The record is from RNAcentral.
GACGAACGCUGGCGGCGUGCCUAAUACAUGCAAGUAGAACGCUGAAGGAGGAGCUUGCUCUUCUGGAUGAGUUGCGAACGGGUGAGUAACGCGUAGGUAACCUGCCUGGUAGCGGGGGAUAACUAUUGGAAACGAUAGCUAAUACCGCAUAACAGUAGAUGUUGCAUGACAUUUACUUAAAAGGUGCAAUUGCAUCACUACCAGAUGGACCUGCGUUGUAUUAGCUAGUUGGUGGGGUAACGGCUCACCAAGGCGACGAUACAUAGCCGACCUGAGAGGGUGAUCGGCCACACUGGGACUGAGACACGGCCCAGACUCCUACGGGAGGCAGCAGUAGGGAAUCUUCGGCAAUGGACGGAAGUCUGACCGAGCAACGCCGCGUGAGUGAAGAAGGUUUUCAGAUCGUAAAGCUCUGUUGUAAGAGAAGAACGAGUGUGAGAGUGGAAAGUUCACACUGUGACGGUAUCUUACCAGAAAGGGACGGCUAACUACGUG